RNAcentral lists this ribosomal RNA (269 nucleotides) under uncultured prokaryote. Its description in RNAcentral is "partial 16S ribosomal RNA". It matches the Rfam family "Bacterial small subunit ribosomal RNA", at positions 524 to 792 of the family's 1533-position model. The record is from RNAcentral.
UACGGAGGAUCCGAGCGUUAUCCGGAUUUAUUGGGUUUAAAGGGUGCGCAGGCGGAAUAUUAAGUCGGCGGUGAAAUUUUGCAGCUCAACUGUAAAAGUGCCAUUGAUACUGGUUUUCUUGAGUGUAGAUGAAGUAGGCGGAAUUUGUGGUGUAGCGGUGAAAUGCAUAGAUAUCACGAGGAACUCCGAUUGCGCAGGCAGCUUACUAAACUAUAACUGACGCUCAGGCACGAAGGCGUGGGGAUCAAACAGGAUUAGAUACCCCGGUA